RNAcentral lists this transfer RNA (61 nucleotides) under Fukomys damarensis (Damara mole-rat). It matches the Rfam family "tRNA", at positions 6 to 65 of the family's 71-position model. From Rfam's summary of the family: Transfer RNA (tRNA) molecules are approximately 80 nucleotides in length. Their secondary structure includes four short double-helical elements and three loops (D, anti-codon, and T loops). Further hydrogen bonds mediate the characteristic L-shaped molecular structure. tRNAs have two regions of fundamental functional importance: the anti-codon, which is responsible for specific mRNA codon recognition, and the 3' end, to which the tRNAs corresponding amino acid is attached (by aminoacyl-tRNA synthetases). tRNAs cope with the degeneracy of the genetic code in two manners: having more than one tRNA (with a specific anti-codon) for a particular amino acid; and 'wobble' base-pairing, i.e. permitting non-standard base-pairing at the 3rd anti-codon position. Lineage: Eukaryota; Metazoa; Chordata; Mammalia; Rodentia; Bathyergidae. The record is from Rfam by way of RNAcentral.
UGUGGCUCACUGGUGGAGCACUUGCCUGUCAUGCAAGAGGCCCUGGAUUCAAUUCCCGAUA